GACGAACGCUGGCGGCGUGCUUAACACAUGCAAGUCGAACGGAAAGGCCCUGCUUUUGUGGGGUGCUCGAGUGGCGCACGGGUGAGUAACACGUGAGUAACCUGCCCUUGUCUUUGGGAUAACUUCAGGAAACUGGGGCUAAUACCGGAUAGGAGCUCCUGCUGCAUGGUGGGGGUUGGAAAGUUUCGGCGGUUGGGGAUGGACUCGCGGCUUAUCAGCUUGUUGGUGGGGUAGUGGCUUACCAAGGCUUUGACGGGUAGCCGGCCUGAGAGGGUGACCGGCCACAUUGGGACUGAGAUACGGCCCAGACUCCUACGGGAGGCAGCAGUGGGGAAUAUUACACAAUGGGCGGAAGCCUGAUGCAGCAACGCCGCGUGCGGGAUGACGGCCUUCGGGUUGUAAACCGCUUUCGCCUGUGACGAAGCGUGAGUGACGGUAAUGGGUAAAGAAGCACCGGCUAACUACGUG
RNAcentral lists this ribosomal RNA (468 nucleotides) under uncultured bacterium. RNAcentral describes it as "partial 16S ribosomal RNA". It matches the Rfam family "Bacterial small subunit ribosomal RNA", at positions 28 to 507 of the family's 1533-position model. The record is from RNAcentral.